This 697-nucleotide ribosomal RNA is filed under the name uncultured fungus. RNAcentral describes it as "eukaryotic LSU rRNA". It matches the Rfam family "Eukaryotic large subunit ribosomal RNA", at positions 37 to 652 of the family's 3401-position model. Lineage: Eukaryota; Fungi. The record is from RNAcentral.
AGCAUAUCAAUAAGCGGAGGAAAAGAAACUAACAAGGAUUCCCCUAGUAACGGCGAGUGAAGCGGGAACAGCUCAAAUUUGAAAUCUCACGGGUAUCCCGUGCGAAUUGUAGUUUAGAGAAACGUUUUCGGGAGUGGCAUGGGCAUAAGUCCUUUGGAAUGAGGCAUCAUAGAGGGUGAGAAUCCCGUCUUUGGUCCGUUGUCCUCUCCUGUGUGAUACGUUUUCAACGAGUCGGUUUGUUUGGGAAUGCAGACCAAAAUGGGUGGUAAAUACCAUCUAAAGCUAAAUAUUGGCGAGAGACCGAUAGCGAACAAGUACCGUGAGGGAAAGAUGAAAAGAACUUUGAAAAGAGAGUUAAAUAGUACGUGAAAUUGCCAAAAGGGAAACGCUUGGAACCAGUAUUGCCUGCAUGUAAUCAGCGGUGCCUCAAGCUCCGUGCACUUGCAUGCUGGCAGGUCAACACCAGUUUGGCUUGAGGUAAAAUCCGUGGGGAAGGUGGCCCGGGGCUUGCUCCGGGUGUUUAUAGCCCCCCGUGAUGCCUUGGGUUGGACUGAGGGAUGCAGCGUUCUUUGGGUAACUGGUUGCCGACCGAACUUGCUACGUAGACAGCAUGCUGAUUGCGUGGCGAUGUAGGGCGCUCGAUCGGGGUUCCACACCAACGCUUCGGAUGUUGACGAAAUGGUUCCAAACGACCCGU